GCCAACGGCCAUACCAUGUUGAAUACAUCGGUUUUCGUCCGAUCACCGAAGUUAAGCAUCAUCGGGCGUGGUUAGUACCUGGAUGGGUGACCGUCAUUUCUUUAAAAAUGUCCAGCGUUCAGAGCC
This 126-nucleotide ribosomal RNA is filed under the name Rhodnius prolixus. Lineage: Eukaryota; Metazoa; Arthropoda; Insecta; Hemiptera; Reduviidae. The record is from RNAcentral.